Magnolia sinica is the source of this 1690-nucleotide long non-coding RNA. RefSeq lists it as uncharacterized. NCBI's taxonomy places the organism in Eukaryota, Viridiplantae, Streptophyta, Magnoliopsida, Magnoliales, Magnoliaceae. The record is from RefSeq and is a predicted model, not a curated record. The transcript is spliced from 2 exons.
UUUCAGUAAGGUCUACUGCCCCUACAUGUGAAUUCCUCCCCUAUUGACUGGUUUAGAACCACUUGAUUCGAAACUUCCCUCGAGGGUGAUUCCAUUCCUUGGAUGCCACCGGAUAGCGGAAAGAAAAGGAUGAUUACCACUUUUCUCAGGCUCCAUACAUGUGAUGCACCGAUUUGGAAAGGCAUACCUCUUUGUUGCAACUUGUCCACUGUAAGAGUUUUCCCAUGCUUCACCAGCCAUGUGAAAGCCACUACUCUCGGCAUGACGGUACCAUUCUGGAGCGAAUUAGCAAAUGGGCAGAGCUGAGAAGGUGCCUGAAGCCUCCUAUUUCCAACCCCUGUGGUCAUCUUACCAUGGGUUUAAGCAAGCUUCCUCAAGCAAACACGUCAACGCCUGAAAGGGGGCCAUCUUCCAGCCAUUCAUCUUCCAAAAAAUGGACAUUGUCACCCUAUCAUUAUUCACCAUAAAACUAAGGCCAUCAACCAUCACCUUACCUCACAAUUUUAGACUGAUUUCCCAUGGACAUUAUUCCCUUCCAUAAUUGGGAAACAGGGAGCCUACCAACCAUAACCAGAUCCCAUCCCCUGUUUGUUGCUCCAUAUUUUUAUAGAAUAACUCUUUUCCAAAGUGCCCGCUUCUCCACAACUGAUGUAGAGCGGGUCGCGGACACUUUCAUGUCCAAGAUGGAUUAGAGAAGGCCCGAUCAGAGGCAGAAGUCAUCAAGACCGUCAGCACCUUAAAACUGGCAUAUCUCGCAAACCGGAAUGAGUUACUUGAUGUACCAUAUUUGAUUUUGGGGUAGGACAAGCUACUUUAGCCAACCAACCCCGCAUAGCCAGGUUGCCCACGCCGAAUUUGUGAGAUUCCAUCAUAUCGGCGGUCAAAUUCCAUGUUUAUUUCCAUUUUUACUAUUUUUAGUAAGUUUUAGCUUGAUUUUAACUCUUCAUCUGUUGGGCUUUAGGAGUUGUGUCCAACAUGAAAAGUGUUUAGAAAAAUUUGGAGAAUAACGUGGUUAAGCCACAUAGGACACUUACUAUAAGUAGUAAAUUUAGUUACGAAUUUUAGGGAGUUUUAAUUAUAGUUUAAUUCCUAAACUUAUUCCAAGUCUUGGUAUCCCUAUUUAAAGGGUUGUAGACUCAUUUAUUUCAGCUAUCAAUUAUCAACAAGUUUCUUUCAUAUAUUUUAAAAUUAUUUCUAUUUCUUUUCCUCGUGGAUUCGAGAAGUUUCUGUGAGGAGUCUAGAGAAGCUCCGUGGAUUUGGAGUAAUUAUCCUUGAGGAAGACGGUGAUCGACCUCAUCAUGUUCAUCCCUGCAUCAACAACAAACCUCCAUCACAAUCUACACAGGCGAGUUUAGUUCCAUUCUCUGAUCCUGCCUAGCGCCUACUCCGAAACCCCUCCUCCGGUUUCAGUACCUCUUUCCAAUUGAUGAGAUGUAAUUUCUGGAUCUCAUCCCAGUAACCCCACAAGAAAUCCCUUUGGAUUUUUUCAAUCAUUUCUGCAACCAUGCGCAUGGUUUUAAAGAGGGAAGUAUUUUACACCGAUUACACAGAAGAUUCCUUGUUUACCUGCAAAUUUGCUAGUUCUUGCAUCACAAUUCACAUCUGCCAUGUGGACAGAGAUCCAAGCCAUUCAUCAGAUAUCUAAACAACAUAGAUAACCUGAUGGAAAGAUCUGACCUUGCACGUGUUA